This 1110-nucleotide long non-coding RNA is filed under the name Canis lupus familiaris (dog). RNAcentral's name for it is "lncRNA (ENSCAFG00040015795.1)". The record is from RNAcentral. Lineage: Eukaryota; Metazoa; Chordata; Mammalia; Carnivora; Canidae.
UUCCAAUUUUUUUUUUUUUUUUUUUUUUGCUUUUCUCUCGGGGCGCGUGCGGUCCGGGGCUGCGCGCGCGUGUCCAAGAGCCCGGCGCCAGCGGCGUGCGGGAGACGGCGGGACGAUGCUGACCUAAGCCCCCGGAGCCGCCCGGCGCUGGCUGCUUGGCUGCAGGAGGCGGCGGCGGCGGCGGCCGAGCAGGAGGACGCGCCGUGUCCGGCCGGCGAGCCGCGGCGCUGCCUCCCGUGCGCACCGCGCGGCCGGCCUCGGCCCUCCCCGGCCGGGGUCGCCGCUGCCCCGCGCUCCUCGCCCCGCGCGGCCCCCGCGCGCUCGGCCCGCCCCCGGGGCGCGCUCGCAGACCGAGGUAAGAGCCGCGGGAGCGAACCUGGCCGCCUCCGUGCCGGGCCCCGGGGACCUGUUUGCGCCGCGCCUCCCGCCCGGGCUGGCCGCUGGGGGUGCGGGGGAGCUCGGUGCGGGUGCGCCUCGGGCCCCGCGCGCCUCCCGCCGAGACUCCGGCCCCGUCCGUCCGUCCGUCCGGCCUCGCCUUCCGCAGGCUGCGUGCAGGGGCGCGGGGGACUGACCGUGGGCUCUGCCUUGGGGGGUUUCCGGGAAGCUUGGGUCGGAGGGGGCCGCUCGCCCUUUUUGCAGCCCGUCCCGGGAGGGGGGCUCGGGGUGCGGAGCCCGCGCCCCGCGCCCCCGCGCCCCCUCGCCCCGGCCGCAGACCUGUCCCGGGCUGUAAGUGGAGCGGGGAGGCCGGGCGCCAGCUCCAGGGGGGCGGCUGGGGCGAGUUGUCGCGGGCCCUUGUUUUCUCCCGUCGGUGGGGAGGUGGUGCGGAGAGGCGAGGAUGACAGCAAAGCGCAGCCAGAUGUGGCCAGGCCGGCGCGGGGGCUGGCAACGAUUAGGGGGGCCCCGCGGGGCGGGGGGGCGCAGAGACUCUCCCGGACCCGCAGUGAGAGGGCAGCAGCGGGCCGCGCUGGGCCUGCGGGAGAAGUUCCCGGCCGUGGGCUCCUGGGGCGGCUGCGGGGCUGGGGACCUCGGGGAGCCCGGUUUGUAGGUUGGGGGUGCCGGGCGCGGGUGCACCGGGGGGGUGCGUGGGGGGGGCGGCGGGAGAAGGCGUGG